CCUACGGGUGGCAGCAGUAGGGAAUUUUGCGCAAUGGGCGAAAGCCUGACGCCGCAACGCCGCGUGAUCGAGACGCCCUUCGGGGUGUAAAGAUCUGUCAGUGGGGACGAAACUUGACGGUACCCACAGCGGAAGCACCGGCUAACUCCGUGCCAGCAGCCGCGGUAAUACGAAGGGGGCAAGCGUUGUUCGGAAUUACUGGGCGUAAAGGGAGUGGAGGCGGUUUAGUAAGAUAGUGGUGAAAUCCCAGAGCUUAACUUUGGAAUUGCCAUUAUAACUAUUAGACUAGAAUUACAGAGAGGAGAGUGGAAUACCCAGUGUAGAGGUGAAAUUCGUAGAUAUUGGGUAGAACACCAGUGGCGAAGGCGACUAUCUGGCUGUACAUUGACGCUGAGGCUCGAAGGUGCGGGUAUCAAACAGGAUUAGAUACCCCGGUAGUC
Molecule: ribosomal RNA, 440 nt
Filed under: uncultured bacterium
Lineage: Bacteria
Description: partial 16S ribosomal RNA
Rfam family: Bacterial small subunit ribosomal RNA
Source: RNAcentral